GAUUUCCUGAGGUGUUCGUCAGCGGGUUACGUCCCUGAGCCGAUACUUACAUACUCUAGAAUUGGUUCUCUAUAGUUGGUGAGCAUGCUUGCCCUGACCUUCGAGGUCCUGAUGCAAGAAGCCUAAAAACAGUUACGACCGAUUCCCUUGAACCGUCGGGUUCAAGGACCGACCACCCACAACGGCAUCUCGGGGUCUUC
Molecule: non-coding RNA, 200 nt
Filed under: [Mannheimia] succiniciproducens MBEL55E
Lineage: Bacteria; Pseudomonadati; Pseudomonadota; Gammaproteobacteria; Pasteurellales; Pasteurellaceae
Also listed under: 1 other name
Description: Mannheimia succiniciproducens MBEL55E 6S / SsrS RNA
Rfam family: 6S / SsrS RNA
About the family: E. coli 6S RNA was the first non coding RNA to be sequenced, but its function was unknown until recently.
Source: Rfam by way of RNAcentral